RNAcentral lists this ribosomal RNA (464 nucleotides) under uncultured bacterium. RNAcentral describes it as "partial 16S ribosomal RNA". It matches the Rfam family "Bacterial small subunit ribosomal RNA", at positions 28 to 507 of the family's 1533-position model. The record is from RNAcentral.
GACGAACGCUGGCGGCGUGCUUAACACAUGCAAGUCGUACGGUAAGGCCCUUUCGGGGGUACACGAGUGGCGAACGGGUGAGUAACACGUGAGUAACCUGCCCACAACUUUGGGAUAACGCUAGGAAACUGGUGCUAAUACUGGAUAUGUGCUCCUGCUGCAUGGUGGGGGUUGGAAAGCUCCGGCGGUUGUGGAUGGACUCGCGGCCUAUCAGCUUGUUGGUGGGGUAGUGGCCUACCAAGGCGGCGACGGGUAGCCGGCCUGAGAGGGUGACCGGCCACAUUGGGACUGAGAUACGGCCCAGACUCCUACGGAGGCAGCAGUGGGGAAUAUUGCACAAUGGGCGCAAGCCUGAUGCAGCAACGCCGCGUGCGGGAUGACGGCCUUCGGGUUGUAAACCGCUUUCAGCAGGGACGAAGCUUUUUGUGUCGGUACCUGCAGAAGAAGCACCGGCUAACUACGUG